UUUUAUGGAGAGUUUGAUCCUGGCUCAGGAUGAACGCUGGCGGCGUGCCUAAUACAUGCAAGUCGAGCGAACAGACGAGGAGCUUGCUCCUCUGACGUUAGCGGCGGACGGGUGAGUAACACGUGGAUAACCUACCUAUAAGACUGGGAUAACUUCGGGAAACCGGAGCUAAUACCGGAUAAUAUAUUGAACCGCAUGGUUCAAUAGUGAAAGACGGUUUUGCUGUCACUUAUAGAUGGAUCCGCGCCGCAUUAGCUAGUUGGUAAGGUAACGGCUUACCAAGGCAACGAUGCGUAGCCGACCUGAGAGGGUGAUCGGCCACACUGGAACUGAGACACGGUCCAGACUCCUACGGGAGGCAGCAGUAGGGAAUCUUCCGCAAUGGGCGAAAGCCUGACGGAGCAACGCCGCGUGAGUGAUGAAGGUCUUCGGAUCGUAAAACUCUGUUAUUAGGGAAGAACAAAUGUGUAAGUAACUAUGCACGUCUUGACGGUACCUAAUCAGAAAGCCACGGCUAACUACGUGCCAGCAGCCGCGGUAAUACGUAGGUGGCAAGCGUUAUCCGGAAUUAUUGGGCGUAAAGCGCGCGUAGGCGGUUUUUUAAGUCUGAUGUGAAAGCCCACGGCUCAACCGUGGAGGGUCAUUGGAAACUGGAAAACUUGAGUGCAGAAGAGGAAAGUGGAAUUCCAUGUGUAGCGGUGAAAUGCGCAGAGAUAUGGAGGAACACCAGUGGCGAAGGCGACUUUCUGGUCUGUAACUGACGCUGAUGUGCGAAAGCGUGGGGAUCAAACAGGAUUAGAUACCCUGGUAGUCCACGCCGUAAACGAUGAGUGCUAAGUGUUAGGGGGUUUCCGCCCCUUAGUGCUGCAGC
This 871-nucleotide ribosomal RNA is filed under the name Staphylococcus epidermidis. Its description in RNAcentral is "bacterial SSU rRNA". It matches the Rfam family "Bacterial small subunit ribosomal RNA", at positions 1 to 852 of the family's 1533-position model. The record is from RNAcentral. Lineage: Bacteria; Bacillati; Bacillota; Bacilli; Caryophanales; Staphylococcaceae.